Molecule: transfer RNA, 82 nt
Filed under: Rhipicephalus microplus (southern cattle tick)
Lineage: Eukaryota; Metazoa; Arthropoda; Arachnida; Ixodida; Ixodidae
Description: tRNA-Ser
Rfam family: tRNA
About the family: Transfer RNA (tRNA) molecules are approximately 80 nucleotides in length.
Source: Rfam by way of RNAcentral
GCAGUCGUGGCCGAGUGGUUAAGGCGGUGGACUAGAAAUCAUUGGGGGUCUCCCCGCACAGGUUCGAAUCCUGUCGACUGCG